AUUGAACGCUGGCGGCAGGCCUAACACAUGCAAGUCGAGCGGAUGAAGGGAGCUUGCUCCUGGAUUCAGCGGCGGACGGGUGAGUAAUGCCUAGGAUCUGCCUGGUAGUGGGGGAUAACGUCCGGAAACGGGCGCUAAUACCGCAUACGUCCUGAGGGAGAAAGUGGGGGAUCUUCGGACCUCACGCUAUCAGAUGAGCCUAGGUCGGAUUAGCUAGUUGGUGGGGUAAAGGCCUACCAAGGCGACGAUCCGUAACUGGUCUGAGAGGAUGAUCAGUCACACUGGAACUGAGACACGGUCCAGACUCCUACGGGAGGCAGCAGUGGGGAAUAUUGGACAAUGGGCGAAAGCCUGAUCCAGCCAUGCCGCGUGUGUGAAGAAGGUCUUCGGAUUGUAAAGCACUUUAAGUUGGGAGGAAGGGCAGUAAGUUAAUACCUUGCUGUUUUGACGUUACCAACAGAAUAAGCACCGGCUAACUUCGUG
This 483-nucleotide ribosomal RNA is filed under the name uncultured bacterium. RNAcentral describes it as "partial 16S ribosomal RNA". It matches the Rfam family "Bacterial small subunit ribosomal RNA", at positions 30 to 507 of the family's 1533-position model. The record is from RNAcentral.